GUAGGUGAACCUGCGGAAGGAUCAUUAUUGAAAUAAACCUGAUGGGUUGUUGCUGGUUCUCUAGGGAGCAUGUGCACGCCUUGUCAUCUUUAUAUCUCCACCUGUGCACCUUUUGUAGACCUUCCAGGUCUAUGUUGCUCCAUUUACCCCAAUGUAUGUUAAUAGAAUGUUGUGUUUAUAAAAUCUAUACAACUUUCAGCAACGGAUCUCUUGGCUCUC
RNAcentral lists this unclassified non-coding RNA (219 nucleotides) under rhizosphere metagenome. RNAcentral describes it as "partial ribosomal RNA internal transcribed spacer region". The record is from RNAcentral.